AAUUUAAUUAAUAAUGCCUUUUACAAGUACUGUAGAGACCUUUAAAGAAAAUUCAUACCACUCAACAAGCAUAUGCCAUAGCGAAGCAGAGACAAUGCUAUAAUCAAUAGAUUCCUCCAAAGAAUGUUUAAGCUCGUUUUUUUCAUCCAGCAGCCUCCAUUGAGUUAUAGGACCAGGGUUGUCGCCUUCUCCAUAUAUAAAGUCAACGUAUCCUUCGAACCAGUCAUAGUCAAUUAAAAAGGCAGUUUUUUCUUUUUUCCAUUUUUCUUUAUCCUCUUUAAUUAAAUUUAUCGAAUCUUGGAACGGCAAUGAAGCAGGUUGGUCGAUCCAAAUUUGGGAAUAUCGAGUGCUUGCGUUUUGAGUAGCAGUUGAUGCCAUUCUCAAAACAUGGUCAUUUAUUCG
Non-coding RNA from Schizosaccharomyces pombe (fission yeast), 402 nucleotides. NCBI's taxonomy places the organism in Eukaryota, Fungi, Ascomycota, Schizosaccharomycetes, Schizosaccharomycetales, Schizosaccharomycetaceae. The record is from the annotation of a GenBank genome assembly.